AGUGGGGAAUUUUGGACAAUGGGGGCAACCCUGAUCCAGCAAUGCCGCGUGAGUGAAGAAGGCCUUCGGGUUGUAAAGCUCUUUUGUCAGGGAAGAAACGGUAGAGGCUAAUAUCCUUUGCUAAUGACGGUACCUGAAGAAUAAGCACCGGCUAACUACGUGCCAGCAGCCGCGGUAAUACGUAGGGUGCAAGCGUUAAUCGGAAUUACUGGGCGUAAAGCGUGCGCAGGCGGUUGUGCAAGACAGAUGUGAAAUCCCCGGGCUCAACCUGGGAAUUGCAUUUGUGACUGCACGGCUAGAGUGUGUCAGAGGGGGGUAGAAUUCCACGUGUAGCAGUGAAAUGCGUAGAGAUGUGGAGGAAUACCGAUGGCGAAGGCAGCCCCCUGGGAUAACACUGACGCUCAUGCACGAAAGCGUGGGGAGCAAA
RNAcentral lists this ribosomal RNA (427 nucleotides) under uncultured Oxalicibacterium sp. RNAcentral describes it as "bacterial SSU rRNA". It matches the Rfam family "Bacterial small subunit ribosomal RNA", at positions 353 to 772 of the family's 1533-position model. The record is from RNAcentral. Lineage: Bacteria; Pseudomonadati; Pseudomonadota; Betaproteobacteria; Burkholderiales; Oxalobacteraceae.